GCGGGUUUAGCUCAGUUGGGAGAGCGUAGCACUGAAGACUUGCGGGGGCUUCCUCAGCAAGACAGAAUAUGCUAAGGUCGUGUGUUCGAUCCACACAAGCCGCA
Non-coding RNA from Sodiomyces alkalinus F11, 104 nucleotides. Lineage: Eukaryota; Fungi; Ascomycota; Sordariomycetes; Glomerellales; Plectosphaerellaceae. The record is from the annotation of a RefSeq genome assembly.